This 948-nucleotide long non-coding RNA is filed under the name Malus domestica (apple). Its description in RNAcentral is "long non-coding RNA (MDOM_LNC012148)". Lineage: Eukaryota; Viridiplantae; Streptophyta; Magnoliopsida; Rosales; Rosaceae. The record is from RNAcentral.
UAAAUAUAUAUAUAUACCAUUGAACUUGAUGGAUACGAAUUAUACGAAACUAAUUUUAACAAUUCAACCGUCAAACUUGUUUGUAUAUGCUUCGAGAUCGCAUCAUUAAAAAAUCGCAAAAUACAAACAUUCAGAGAUCAAAUAACCGAACAAAACUUUUUUACGGUUAUAAAACGAAAAAUCACGAUUUAACGGUUAUUUUAACUCCGAUUUUUAUGAUUUUUUACAGCUACACUUCUUGACCCUAUAUGAAUACAAUGAAUGAAUUCGAUCUUCAAUUUAAAAUAUUUACACUAGUGGAUACCACAAAAUCUUAUGUUAUACGCAAUGAAAUUAUGAAUAAACUCUUAAAUGUUAGUGAAUCUAUUGUUUUGAUGGGAUACGCAUUAUACAAAACUAGUUUUAACGAUCCAACGAUCCAACCAUCAAAUAUGUUUGUAUAUACUUCAAGAUCGCAUACGCCAAAAAUAUUAAAAAACAAACAUUCAGAAAUCAAAUAACGGGAUAAAACUUUUCAACGGUUAUAAAAAGAAAAAUCACUAUUUAACAGUUAUUUUAACUCCGAUUUUGAUGAUUUUUUUAUAGCUACACUCCUUGACCCUAUAUGAAUACAAUGAAUGAAUUCGAUCUUCAAUUUAAAAUAUUUAGACUAGUGGAUAUCACAAAAUCUUAUGUUAUACUUGAUGAAAGUAUGAAUAAACUCUUAAGUGUUAGUGAUCUAUUGUUUUGAUGGGAUACGCAUUCUACAAAACUAGUUUUAACGAUUCAACUGUCAAACAUGUUUGUAUAUACUUUGAGAUCGCAUACGCGAAAAAUUGUAAAAAACAAACAUAUAAAGAUCAAGUAAUGGGACAAAACCUUUCGACGGUUAUAAAAAGAAAAAUCACGAUUUAACGGUUAUUUUAACUCCGAUUUUGAUGAUUUUUUACAGCUACACUCCUUGACCCU